Molecule: non-coding RNA, 2321 nt
Organism: Pelodiscus sinensis (Chinese soft-shelled turtle)
Lineage: Eukaryota; Metazoa; Chordata; Testudines; Trionychidae
Source: RefSeq, a predicted model, not a curated record
AUUGGUUAAUCCUAUUGAAUACAUGCACCCUCCCCCCACACCCUAUCUCUAUAUUGGUGGCGGCAGGGGGAAGGAGUGGGAGCCAAUGCCCAUGAGGAAUUGGCUUUAAGCAAGUCAGUCUGCUAAAAAAUUACUGGUGCAGGGGAAUGCGUGUAGUCUAUAGCAUUAACCCAGUGGUCCCCAACCUUUUGGGGCUGCCAGGAGCCCGGGAGCGGGGCUGCUCAAGCGCCACCCAUCUAGGGGGGUACCACGCAUGCACUGCGCACAGGGCCGGAUUAAGGGGGAGACUAGCCUGGCAGCUGCGGGGGGCGCCUGAUGGCAGCUGUAAGGGGCGCCGCAUGCCCGGGACCGGGGGCCGUGCGGUGCCCCUUAGAGCUGUCAUCAGGCACCACGCACCCAACUGCAGCUGUAAGGUACGCAGCACGCCAGGGGCAGAGCCGAGCAUGCAUCGCGCGCCCACUGCCUGGGGCGCAGGAAUGGCUCAAGCUGGCCCUGCCAUGCCCGGGGUUCAGGGCGCAAGAAUGGCUUGGGCCAGCCCUGGUCACUUGGUGGGCACACACAUGCCCCAGCUCUCCCCUGGCCACUGGGCAGGGCCAGGUCAAGGCGUGGCCUCCCUGGCCUGCCCCGGGUCUCUGCCUUCCAGCUGUCAGAGGGUGGGGAGUUGGGCUGGACCAAAGCUGGGCUGGCUCUAUCUUUCUGGCAGGGAGUGGGAAGGGAGCGCUGCUCCUGGCCCUCUCCCUCUGGCCACAAGGGGGGAGGCCACAUGGCUCUGGCCCCUUGCUGGUAAGGGUGCCCCCAGACCAUCAGUGAUGCCACACAAGUUCUGCGCACUGCCUACCCAAGCCCCCACAAGGCUUUGCAGCUCCCGCACCCCCCCCUGCAAGGCCACGUGGUUCCCACGUCCCUGCUCCCCCCAGAACCCCAUCCUCAGAAGUUCCCAUGCCUCCACUCACCACACUCGAGCUCUCAUGAGGCUGCGCAGCUCCCCCACGCCACCAAGCCCCCACAGCUCCUGCAUAUCCACCUUCCCCCACACAAGCCCCUGCAAUGCUGUGUGGCUCCCGCAUUCUCCUCCCCCCAAAAGUUGCACGGCUCAAACAUACCCCAGCCUCAAAGAGGUCACACAGCUCCCAUGCCCCUCACCCGAGUCCACUACCCCGCACAGCAGAGGAGCCAUGCAGUUCAAUUUAAAUUCCAGAAGCUCCUAUCCACAUGGUGGCUGCUGGAGGGAUGCUCAGGGGCUGGCAGUGUUUGUGGGAGGAGUUGACUGCUGGCCCAUGCGCACAGAGCUGAUUGGGGGUGGGGAGAGGCAUCAAGGUCUGGAUGCAGGGAGAGGGUUUAACCUCCAGCUUGUGUGCCAUGGAGCCAAUAGGGGAUCAUGGGGUUGGGGAGGGGACAAAGUAGGGCAGCUGUGUGGCCUCAUCCCAGAACGCUGAGGAGUGGGAAAUCCGCAUGCCCUGGGUGCCACACAGCCUGUGGCUCCUGCCACCCCAGGCUUUGCCAGGGCAGGUCAGAGAAUGGAGGAGGCUGCUUGGCUUCACAGCUCCCACGGAGCAUGGGGAAAAAGAAGGACCAAAUGGCUGAGGGCAGAAGAAGGGGCUGCGGGACGCAGAGUAACAUUACUCUGUUGCCCUGCAGGAAAAAACUUCUUAAAGUAUAGUAAGAUAUUCAUGACUCCAGUUCUGUAUUUAUAGCCGUGACUGUCUAAGGCAUUCUGUGUUCAUUCUGUAGUCUUGGAAGGUGGCUCAAGAUGUAAUGCUAGUGUGUCCUAUAUGCAUAAUACCACAGUGCCAUCAUAGUCCACUCAAAAGUAACACUGAGAAUGUGGUUCUCACUUAGCAUGGUGUGUGUGUUGAUUCUUUGUUUUGAUUCUUUGCUGUUUAGAACUCAGCCACCCCCUAAACUACCAGUGGGUCCCAAUCACAAGUUUGCAAAUAACUACUACUGUACUCGUGAUGGACGCAGGGAGUCCUAUCCUCCAGUUAUUGUUGUGUCUCCACAGAAAUCCCUUGCAUCAGGUGCUCAAGGUGUUAGCUCGGACUGUGCAGUAGCAACAACCAAGAGAAACCCAGUGACACCAGGAGUUCCACUUGAGAAGUGGGAGCUGUCCAAAGAUCAACCUUACCUGUGACCUGGCCAAGUAUGAAGAGAAGUUUGAAUAAGAUUGGACUUCAUAUGAUUAACUGAAAAGAAGCAGCCUGGCUGGAGAUCCAGGGAUAGGGCUCUAGCUUCAGUAAUGCUGUACAGAAUUUAGCCUAUUGGAAAGGAGACCAUCUUGCUGGGCAUGACUCAUUAAACGUAUUUAUCUAAUCUAUUCUCAA